RNAcentral lists this ribosomal RNA (472 nucleotides) under uncultured organism. Its description in RNAcentral is "partial 16S ribosomal RNA". It matches the Rfam family "Bacterial small subunit ribosomal RNA", at positions 335 to 798 of the family's 1533-position model. The record is from RNAcentral.
ACUCCUACGGGAGGCAGCAGUGGGGAAUAUUGCACAAUGGGCGCAAGCCUGAUGCAGCCAUGCCGCGUGUGUGAAGAAGGCCUUCGGGUUGUAAAGCACUUUCAGCGGGGAGGAAGGCAAUGCGGUUAAUAACCGUGUUGAUUGACGUUACCCGCAGAAGAAGCACCGGCUAACUCCGUGCCAGCAGCCGCGGUAAUACGGAGGGUGCAAGCGUUAAUCGGAAUUACUGGGCGUAAAGCGCACGCAGGCGGUCUGUCAAGUCGGAUGUGAAAUCCCCGGGCUCAACCUGGGAACUGCAUUCGAAACUGGCAGGCUUGAAUCUUGUAGAGGGGGGUAGAAUUCCAGGUGUAGCGGUGAAAUGCGUAGAGAUCUGGAGGAAUACCGGUGGCGAAGGCGGCCCCCUGGACAAAGACUGACGCUCAGGUGCGAAAGCGUGGGGAGCAAACAGGAUUAGAAACCCCAGUAGUCCCAU